RNAcentral lists this ribosomal RNA (441 nucleotides) under uncultured bacterium. RNAcentral's name for it is "partial 16S ribosomal RNA". It matches the Rfam family "Bacterial small subunit ribosomal RNA", at positions 338 to 795 of the family's 1533-position model. The record is from RNAcentral.
CCUACGGGAGGCAGCAGUGGGGAAUAUUGCACAAUGGGGGAAACCCUGAUGCAGCGACGCCGCGUGAGCGAUGAAGUAUUUCGGUAUGUAAAGCUCUAUCAGCAGGGAAGAAAAUGACGGUACUUGACUAAGAAGCCACGGCUAACUACGGGCCAGCAGCCGCGGUAAUACGGGGGAUGCAAGCGUUAUCCGGAUUUAUUGGCUUUAAAGGGUGCGUAGGCUGUGAGGUAAGUCAGCGGGGAAAUGCCCCCGCUCAACGGGGGGAAGUGCCAUUGAUAAUGCCUUCAUGGAAUGCGGAUGGCGUUGGAUGAAUGUGUGGUGUAGCGGUGAAAUGCAUAGAUAUCACACAGAACACCGAUUGCGAAGGCAUCUCACGAAGCCGCGAUUGACGCUGAUGCACGAAAGCGUGGGUAUCAAACAGGAUUAGAUACCCGAGUAGUC